This is a non-coding RNA of Vicugna pacos (alpaca), 2895 nucleotides long. NCBI's taxonomy places the organism in Eukaryota, Metazoa, Chordata, Mammalia, Artiodactyla, Camelidae. The record is from RefSeq and is a predicted model, not a curated record.
UUGGAGAGAGUACCUGUUCAGUCUUCUUUAAGCCACAGAAUAUAGCAAAGUAAUGCAUGUCCACGACUAGGAUUGUCAGAUACUUUUUGGGUAAGCAUAUUGAAUUUAAAUGAAAGAGUACACUUUGUACAGAAAAAAUAAUUUGAAGGAGAAAUCAUGAAAUUUAAUAGUUUACCCAUGGAUAUUUGUGUAAUUUUAAUUAUAUCAUGGGUAACGUUAACUGAAGUCAAGUGUGUAAAAUUCUUUUGAAAGUUAAAGCACAAAGUUUGAUAGAUAUGUACGUUCAACAAUAACAAACAAAUACUUGACACCCACUACCACCACCAAAAUAUGUAUGCUGAAAUCGUGUCUCCCUGGUGAAUAUAGAAAGAUACAGAAAAGCUGACCACUUAGGUAAAAGGUUUGGGACGGAGGAGGGGGCCUGUAGCUCCUGUUGUAGCCAAUGUAUAAAACUUUAUUUCAAGGUGGGAAUCAGUAGAUUGUCUCCAGUACUAAGCAGUUAAUCAUUAAUCAGUUGAUCUUCAUUAUCAACCAAAACUGCUUGUGUUUUCUUUUCAGCAGCUUCCUAGCAAUGUGAUUACAAAUGUUUAAAUCAGUGGAUAAUGAAAUUGACUUGUUUGUGUUCCUUGUCACGUGGUGGAGAGUAAGCCUCCGUGCUCAGAGGAGCAGUUCCAGCAGUGGGCGAGUGCUAGCUCGGUGUCGCCGGGCUGCGUUUCCUUGCUCACAGAGCCCUGGAGCUUGGCCACCUUGAAUGAGUCGGAGGAGGAAAGGUUUGGGUUUGAGAGCUCUGGGUUUAUUUCUUGCUGUUGAGAUGGGAGACUGUGGGAGAAGUCAUAAAUAGGGUUUGAGGGAGGUCGUAGACCCAGAGGUUCUCGCUGGGGUAAAUGCUGGAUGGAUUUGCUUAUGGAUGAAUCUGUUUAUAGCUGUUUCACACUUUUACCUCUAAUUGUUGGUGCUUCCAAGGGGCAAAGCUCAGUGUCUGGUUCUUACUGGGUUGGUAUCUCAGAAGUCUUCCCCAAUGCACCAAUCAUGGUCACUCUGUUCCCUUUCGUUCUGCAUCUGUAGUGAAAUAACUAACUUGCUGAUCUGCCAUGAGAGUUGAUUUUUUUUUAAUAACACCAAGCAUCUUGGGAAAAGACAGGUAGAUACUAGAAGCGAAUAGUAUUUGGGACAGGAGUUGUGGGAUGUGGGGGUUUGUGGCACUGUGUAUAUAUCACCAUCUCCAGUGCACCCAGAGAGAGCAAGGGCAGCAGCCCCCGAGCCCCUCUUGAGUCCUUUGUCCCUUUGUGGCUUGGUCACUCAAAUCCCCUGUGCAGAUUCUGAAUUCUUCUCCCUUGUAGCCACCCAUGGGAGUUCAGGAAGGCUCACAUCCAGCUGCUGCCCCAGGUCAACUCGCAGCCUUGCACACAGGUGCUGUCUGUUGUCAGGAACUUGGGGACACUGCCCAGCCGGCCCAACCACAGUCCUCCUCCUCCUCCUGGGGCAACUUGCCUGCCUCUGCUGGUGGCACUGGCCCAGCUCCCAGCGCUGGCCCUGCCUCCUUGGCCCUGUUGCUUGCUCGCCAGACCGUGAAUCACUCUAGACUUGGGGCAUUUUACCUGUCUGAAGGGCGAGCAUGCAGUGCUUCUGUUUGCCUGGGAGCUCUAGGGAUGCAAUCCUAGAAACUGCCCAGAGGAAAUAUCUUCCUCAGGAGGAAUUUAGAUAAGUUCCUUAAGGAGAAACCACAUUUUACUAAUGAGAGGCAAUGUUGUUUACUCGAGGGAGUUCUGGCUCUGAAGUCAGUUUGUAGUCCUGCCUAGCGACUCGCCUGGUAUGUUGCGCUGGCCAAACUGCUCGAUCUCUGUGCACAGUUUCCAUCUGUAAAAUAGGGUUGUUAUGAGGAAUAGCCAAGUUGACUCAUUCAUGUAAAGCACUUGAAGAGUGGUGUAUACAUAGUAAGCACAUAUUAAAUGUCAGUGUAUCAUUAGCAUCAGACACUGGUUUAUACAUAGUAGGUGCUCAUUAAAUAUUCUGUUGAAUAAGUAUAACAUUCAGAAGGUGGAAAAAUGAUUUCCUCAUCUCUUACCAUAAAAUAAUAGUAAUACUUGCUUUGCAACGAAGCAUUGUAGGCAUGGAGGCAUUUACCCCUCCUGGCUGGGGGCAGGGUAGUAGAAUGUUCCAGAUUCAUUAUCAGUAACAGUAUGCCAUCAGACCUAACAUACUCAGUAUGUCAGAAGUUUGAAUAAUGUUUACUGGCUCCCAAGGUAGUUUUGAAAGGGCAAAACAGCUUAAUCAGGUGAUUUAUUUCCAGUAAGCAUUGUUAUUGGAACAUUUCAAACUCCAGCAUAUUUGAUGGCUGUAUUAAAACAGGGCUUUGCCCUUUCUUGAUGGGUUCACUCUGCAUUCCGACUCAUGUUUGCUUUUGAGGUGGAGGUAGGUAGCAAGGUGCUCUUUAAUUGAACAGGUUGUUGCGCUUUGUAGCCCACUCCGCACCUAGCAUGGGGCCGUGCAAGUGGCAGUUGCUCAGUAAAUAAUGUUUUCAGUUAAUAAGUAAAUCAUGGGACAUUUUUCUCCACAUUACAUCACACUGAUGCCUGGAAGGUGCUUUUGAGGAGGUUUAGUUUAUGGCUCUCCCCCUAGGCAGUUGCCACCUAAUGUGGUGGUUUCUGUCUUGCUGUUGGGGUGCUGACUGUGAGUGCUGCUCUCAGAGCUACUGCUCAUCUGCUGUAAGAGGAACGAACGUCCUGGUGAGACGGUGGGGGGAGGGGCAUUGCCACUCAUCUUUGACGAGGUGUCUGGAUCGUGCUCAGGAUGAAGAUCACAGCUCUCCCAGCAAGAGGGACGGUGAUCCCAAGGACAAGAGGUUUUGACCCAGGACCUGGAGAUGACAAUUUGGAAACGAUGGUUAAAACAAAA